UUAGCCUACGGGACGCAGCAGUAGGGAAUUUUCGGCAAUGGGGGGAACCCUGACCGAGCAACGCCGCGUGAACGAAGAAGUAUUUCGGUAUGUAAAGUUCUUUUAUUGGAGAAGAAAGAGAAAUUUGACGGUAACCAAUGAAUAAGCUCCGGCUAACUACGUGCCAGCAGCCGCGGUAAUACGGAGGAUGCGAGCGUUAUCCGGAUUUAUUGGGUUUAAAGGGUGCGCAGGCGGGCUGUUAAGCCGGCGGUAAAAAUUCAGGGCUCAACCCUGUCGAGCCGUCGGGACUGGCAGCCUUGAGUGGG
RNAcentral lists this ribosomal RNA (305 nucleotides) under uncultured bacterium. RNAcentral describes it as "bacterial SSU rRNA". It matches the Rfam family "Bacterial small subunit ribosomal RNA", at positions 333 to 650 of the family's 1533-position model. The record is from RNAcentral.